UGAGGAAUUUUGCGCAAUGGGAGCAAUCCUGACGCAGCAACGCCGCGUGGGUGAUGAAGGCCUUCGGGUCGUAAAGCCCUGUCAGGUGGGAAGAAUGUCCCGGGACUGAACAGGUUCCGGGAGUGACGGUACCACCAGAGGGAGCACCGGCUAACUCCGUGCCAGCAGCCGCGGUAAUACGGAGGGUGCAAGCGUUAUUCGGAAUUACUGGGCGUAAAGCGCGUGUAGGCGGUCCCGCAAGUCUGAUGUGAAAGCCCCGGGCUUAACCCGGGAAGUGCAUUGGAAACUGUGGGACUUGAGUACUGGAGAGGAUGGUGGAAUUCCCGGUGUAGAGGUGAAAUUCGUAGAGAUCGGGAGGAAUAUCAGUGGCGAAGGCGCCCAUCUGGACGGUAACUGACGCUGAGACGCGAAAGCUAGGGUGGCAAACG
Molecule: ribosomal RNA, 428 nt
Filed under: uncultured prokaryote
Description: bacterial SSU rRNA
Rfam family: Bacterial small subunit ribosomal RNA
Source: RNAcentral